This 345-nucleotide ribosomal RNA is filed under the name Triticum aestivum (bread wheat). RNAcentral's name for it is "partial small subunit ribosomal RNA". The record is from RNAcentral. Lineage: Eukaryota; Viridiplantae; Streptophyta; Magnoliopsida; Poales; Poaceae.
AUGCUGAAGGCUGGACUAAUUACCCCAAGCAUCAGUCCCUUCUCAUCACCAGUGUUGUUAGUCAAAAAGAAAGAUUUGACCUGGCGGUUCUGCGUGGACUUUAGACAUCUGAAUGCCAUUACAGUUAAGAACACAUAUCCCCUGCCGGUAAUCGAUGAACUGCUCGACGAACUAGCAGGAUCCAAGUGGUUCUCGAAGUUGGACCUGCGAGCAGGAUACCACCAGAUCAGACUGCGUCCUGAAGAUGAAGAAAAGACAGCGUUUAAAACGCAUCAAGGACACUUUCAGUUCCGUGUGCUUCCUUACGGAGUAACAUGUGGACCAGCCACGUUUCAAGGGAGCAUG